Molecule: transfer RNA, 72 nt
Filed under: Camelus bactrianus (Bactrian camel)
Lineage: Eukaryota; Metazoa; Chordata; Mammalia; Artiodactyla; Camelidae
Also listed under: 2 other names
Rfam family: tRNA
About the family: Transfer RNA (tRNA) molecules are approximately 80 nucleotides in length. Their secondary structure includes four short double-helical elements and three loops (D, anti-codon, and T loops). Further hydrogen bonds mediate the characteristic L-shaped molecular structure. tRNAs have two regions of fundamental functional importance: the anti-codon, which is responsible for specific mRNA codon recognition, and the 3' end, to which the tRNAs corresponding amino acid is attached (by aminoacyl-tRNA synthetases). tRNAs cope with the degeneracy of the genetic code in two manners: having more than one tRNA (with a specific anti-codon) for a particular amino acid; and 'wobble' base-pairing, i.e. permitting non-standard base-pairing at the 3rd anti-codon position.
Source: Rfam by way of RNAcentral
UGGGGUAUAGCUCAGUAGUAUAGCACAUGCUUAACAUGCGUGAGGUCCUGGGUUGGAUCCCUAGUACCUCUG